RNAcentral lists this ribosomal RNA (303 nucleotides) under uncultured bacterium. Its description in RNAcentral is "partial 16S ribosomal RNA". It matches the Rfam family "Bacterial small subunit ribosomal RNA", at positions 507 to 807 of the family's 1533-position model. The record is from RNAcentral.
AGCAGUCGCCACGGUAAUACGUAGGGUGCAAGCGUUAAUCGGAAUUACUGGGCGUAAAGCGUGCGCAGGCGGUUCGUUAAGACAGAUGUGAAAUCCCCGGGCUUAACCUGGGAACUGCAUUUGUGACUGGCGGGCUAGAGUAUGGCAGAGGGGGGUAGAAUUCCACGUGUAGCAGUGAAAUGCGUAGAGAUGUGGAGGAAUACCGAUGGCGAAGGCAGCCCCCUGGGCCAAUACUGACGCUCAUGCACGAAAGCGUGGGGAGCAAACAGGAUUAGAUACCCCUGUAGUCCCUGUCUCUUAUAC